UGGGGAAUAUUGCGCAAUGGGCGAAAGCCUGACGCAGCGACGCCGCGUGGGUGAUGAAGGCCUUCGGGUCGUAAAGCCCUUUCGAGGGGAAAGAAAAAGCUGAGUUCAAAUAGGGCUCAGCCCUGACGGUACCCCUAGAAGAAGCACCGGCUAACUCCGUGCCAGCAGCCGCGGUAAUACGGAGGGAGCUAGCGUUGUUCGGAAUUACUGGGCGUAAAGCGUACGUAGGCGGUGACUCAAGUCAGAGGUGAAAGCCUGGAGCUCAACCCCAGAACUGCCUUUGAAACUAGGUCGCUAGAAUCACGGAGAGGUGAGUGGAAUUCCGAGUGUAGAGGUGAAAUUCGUAGAUAUUCGGAAGAACACCAGUGGCGAAGGCGGCUCACUGGACGUGUAUUGACGCUGAGGUACGAAAGCGUGGGGAGCAAACAGGAUUAGAUACCCCCGUAGUCCCUGAGCGGGCUGGCAAGGCGCAU
RNAcentral lists this ribosomal RNA (473 nucleotides) under uncultured bacterium. Its description in RNAcentral is "bacterial SSU rRNA". It matches the Rfam family "Bacterial small subunit ribosomal RNA", at positions 355 to 825 of the family's 1533-position model. The record is from RNAcentral.